This 3226-nucleotide long non-coding RNA is filed under the name Nicotiana benthamiana. RNAcentral describes it as "long non-coding RNA (NBEN_LNC029281)". The record is from RNAcentral. Lineage: Eukaryota; Viridiplantae; Streptophyta; Magnoliopsida; Solanales; Solanaceae.
AUAACUCUAUGCGUAACAUAGUGGAAAUAACUCUCCACCUUCAACCAAGAGGUUGGAGGCAAGGUGAAAAAAGAGCCGACUCUUUGGGGGUGGGGGAGGCUGAGGUUUACCAUGUCAUUCCCAGCUUGCAUUCUUAAGUGCCUUAGUUUAUUGUCUUAAACACCUUUUAUAGUAUUAUUAUCAGCACAGAACAAGCGUUCCAAUUUCACAUCUUACAUUCCUUGCCCUUUUCCUGAGAAAUCACCAAUGCAAGACCCUUUUAAGUAACUAUAUUCCCUGCUCUGGCAACGGGAGUUCUUCACAAUGCAUAUCAACGUCCCACUAAUUUCUUUUCUUUUUCGGAAAAUAAUAAAAAUCAGAUAAGCUCAAAAUUCCGUUAACAUUAGACAUGGUUUUCGAUCUUACUUUUUGAUGUCGUACCAUCACAUUGACGCAUGUUAUACUAUUUGUCCUGCUAAUUCUCUUCAAGUUAAAUAAUAUAUGUUUUUGGACAAGCAUUCUUAGAAAUAUUACACAGCAACGCAUCAUGUAUUUUAUCUUGUGCACAAUUAUUUGUUUCAUGAAUAUAUGGACUGUUUACCAGAUAUAGUUGGUCCCAAGUCUAAUUGAUUGUCAUUUAUAGCAGAUUCUUUCAACUUCUGUUGAUAUAAUAGUGUAGAUCAUUUGUAGGUGGAAGUUCUUAGCCAGUUACAUCACCCACACAUUACUUUAUUGCUUGGAGCCUGUCCUGAAAAUGGCUGCCUUGUUUAUGAGUAUAUGGAGAACGGGAGCCUGGAAGAUUGCAUUUUAGAACGGAACAGCAAACCGUUUCCCUGGUUUUCUCGAUUCAGGAUACUUUUUGAAGUGGCAUGCGCUCUUGCAUUCCUGCACUACUCAAAGCCUGAGCCAAUUGUUCAUCGAGAUCUGAAACCAGGAAAUAUAUUGUUGGACAAAAAUUUUGUGAGCAAAAUAGGAGAUGUAGGUCUAGCAAAGAUUAUAUCAGAUGUUGUCCCGGAAAGUAUUACAGAAUACAGGAACUCUGUUCUCGCUGGCACCCUUGGUUACAUGGAUCCAGAGUAUCAAAGAACUGGCACACUCAGACCAAAGUCUGAUCUUUAUGCUUUUGGAAUAAUAACACUUCAAUUACUGGCUGCGUGUCGUCCUAAUGGCCUUAUAAUGAUGUUUGAAAAUGCUAUAAAUAGUAAUUCAUUGGUGGAUAUACUUGAUAAGUCAGUUCCCGACUGGCCAUUAAUUGAAGCAGAGGAGCUUGCUCGGAUGGCGCUAAAAUGCUGUAACCUUAGAUGCCGGGAUAGACCAGACCUCGAGACUGAAGUUCUUCCACUUUUGAAGAGACUUUCUGCAUUUGCUGACAUGCAUACCAAGGUGGAGAAGAACCUUAUACAGGCACCUAGUCCGUACUUAUGCCCGAUCGUUCAGGUGAGAACUGGAAAUUCCAGAGGAUGACCUAAGUCAUUUCUACUGUGUGCAUGUAUCUCAUUCUGCUUUCUGCUCUUGUAUGGUGCAACAUCUUUGCAGGAAGUAAUGGAAGAUCCACAGAUUGCAGCUGAUGGUUUUACAUAUGAGCAUAGAGCAAUAAAGUUAUGGCUCACAAGACAUAGUGUAUCACCAGUGACAAAGCAGAUACUGCAGCACAAGCUGGUCACACCAAAUCGCACAUUGCGACUUGCUAUACAAGAGUGGCGAUCACAAUUAACAUCGUUCUGAACCAAAUCUUGAAACAGAGUAGAAAAGUGCAUGAUAUCAAGCCAAAAGAAGAGCUGCAAAAACGAAAAAGGAAAAAGAAAAUAUUGUUAAUAGGGUCUUUUUUAUUCACAAGUGACUUUAGAACAAAGUCAAGUGUUUUAUGUUAAUAUACAUCAUACAUUAUCAACUGUAGUCUUUUUAAGUAUUGUAUAGCUCCUAAUGGUAGGGAAAACCUAAAUGUAAAGAAAAUGAAACAUAAUUCUGUGAAUGAGAUAAUACAUUCUGAUUGCUUUCUUCCAGUGGAAGAGUCUGAACUAUAUCCUUGCUUUCAACAAGGAGUUGCUGAAAGUUAUAUGUAGCUAAAAAGAAAUUUUCAGCAUACUGUGUUCUUCUUUUGGAAGCAAGGGAAAAUUUUAGUCUUGGGGACGCAUUGACAAUUUGAAAUUGCCAUACUAAUUGAUCUUGCAGUACUAGAUUGUUGAAGAAAGUGAAUAUGAAUUUGAUAUUAAUCAAAGGAGGUUAUUGGGUGGGUCCAAAUUUGGACAACCACGAUCGGUGAUGAAUACGACCAACGAUGAGAUCCUCGUAGCUCAACGACCUGUGGAAGACAACAGACAAGCGAACAGAGACUGCACGACUAUUACAGUAGUGUCGGUCCGGUAGGGAGUAUUAGGAAUAUUCUUUCAAAUAUUUCCCAUAGUAUGUAUUUUAGUGUUCAGAAGGGAUUAGUCCUUUAUAUAUAGCCCGAGGGGCCGGAGACUGGCUGUAAUACUUUUCUUUAAAAAAAAACAAUUUUAGCAUCUGUAACAUUCCUUCAUUCGUCUUGACAAGAUCAAUGAAUAUUAUCCACUAUAUUCACCUUAUAUAUCUUUUAUUCUAGAUUAUUAUACUUAUCUAAGAUUUACCCUAUUAUUUUCUUUGAUUUAUUUAUUCAAAAAGGUUAUAAUAUAUUUUGGUUCAAACAAUUUGGCACCGUCUGUGGGGAUUUCUAUAGCUGGGAUUUUAGUUUCCUCUAAAUCCUUGAAAGAGAUAAUUGCCUCUUCUUAGCCUCGCAAAGGCCAACAAUGGCAGGAAAGGAAGCAAGAUUAAAGGCAAUAGUAGGUGUCACGAACAACCUUCUGGAUUCCAUCAACGAAUCCGGUACGGAAGACAAUGAAAACGCAAUGCCAAGUGCUACGCCUGAGGGAGAUAUCUCACCCCCCUCCNNNNNGCACGAAAGCGUGACUGUCUCACGCGAGAGGGAAACCUCAACGUCCGCAGCAGGAAAAGCUCCACCGGCUAUGAAAAGGCUAUUAGAGGAAUGGUUGACAAACACCCUGAGCAACAUACUUGACAAGCCCGCCCAAAGGAAUAUAGGAGGCUGAAUAUACACAGAAACCGCAACUGUCGCCGAUGAGCCAGAAACUCCAUGCACAGGUAACACUCGCUAAAAUGCUGUAACCUUAGAUGCCGGGAUAGACCAGACCUCGAGACUGAAGUUCUUCCACUUUUGAAGAGACUUUCUGCAUUUGCUGACAUGCAUACCAAGGUGGAGAAGAACCUU